This 346-nucleotide ribosomal RNA is filed under the name Haplostegus epimelas. RNAcentral's name for it is "partial 16S ribosomal RNA". Lineage: Eukaryota; Metazoa; Arthropoda; Insecta; Hymenoptera; Pergidae. The record is from RNAcentral.
AUAAUAAUUAGUCUUUUAAUUGAAGGCUGGAAUGAAAGAUUGAACGUAAUAAAUACUGUCUCAAUUAAAAUUAUUUAAAUUUAAUUUUUAAGUUAAAAAGCUUAAAUUUUAUUAAAGGACGAGAAGACCCUAUAGAGUUUUAUAAUAAUUUUUUUAUAUUAAUUAAUUUUUUUAAUAUUUUUAUUUUAUUAUUUUGUUGGGGCGAUAGUUAAAUUUGAUAAACUUUUUUAAUUUGAUUACAAAAAUUAUUGAGUUUUUGAUCCUAUUUUUUAGAUUAAUAGAUUAAGUUACCUUAGGGAUAACAGCGUUAUUUUUUUUAAAAGUUCUUAUUAAUAAAAAAGAUUGC